This 253-nucleotide ribosomal RNA is filed under the name uncultured bacterium. RNAcentral describes it as "partial 16S ribosomal RNA". It matches the Rfam family "Bacterial small subunit ribosomal RNA", at positions 524 to 776 of the family's 1533-position model. The record is from RNAcentral.
UACGUAGGGUGCAAGCGUUAUCCGGAAUUAUUGGGCGUAAAGAGCUCGUAGGCGGUCUGUCGCGUCUGCUGUGAAAACCCGAGGCUCAACCUCGGGCCUGCAGUAGGUACGGGCAGACUAGAGUGCGGUAGGGGAGAUUGGAAUUCCUGGUGUAGCGGUGGAAUGCGCAGAUAUCAGGAGGAACACCAAUAGCGAAGGCAGCUCGCUGGGACGGUAUUGACGCUGAGGCGCGAAAGCCAGGGGAGCAAACGGG